CCUACGGGAGGCAGCAGUGAGGAAUAUUGGUCAAUGGCCGAGAGGCUGAACCAGCCAAGUCGCGUGAGGGAAGACGGCUCUACGGGUUGUAAACCUCUUUUGUCGGGGAGCAAAGCGAGUCACGUGUGACUCAUUGAGAGUACCCGAAGAAAAAGCAUCGGCUAACUCCGUGCCAGCAGCCGCGGUAAUACGUAGGGGGCAAGCGUUAUCCGGAUUUACUGGGUGUAAAGGGAGCGUAGACGGCCAGACAAGUCUGAAGUGAAAAUCCAGCGCUUAACGUUGGAAGUGCUUUCGAAACUGCCGGG
This 305-nucleotide ribosomal RNA is filed under the name uncultured bacterium. Its description in RNAcentral is "bacterial SSU rRNA". It matches the Rfam family "Bacterial small subunit ribosomal RNA", at positions 338 to 640 of the family's 1533-position model. The record is from RNAcentral.